Long non-coding RNA from Schistocerca serialis cubense, 815 nucleotides. RefSeq lists it as uncharacterized. The transcript is spliced from 3 exons. NCBI's taxonomy places the organism in Eukaryota, Metazoa, Arthropoda, Insecta, Orthoptera, Acrididae. The record is from RefSeq and is a predicted model, not a curated record.
UGUCAGGACAAUAACGCUGAAAGCAUUUGAAAUUUAUCAAUUUUCACUCUAGCAGAAGGUAGUUUCGGACUUUGCCGAUUAUUACAAAUGAGGCCUUAUCACUGAAGUUUGUAACAUCCGAUAUCAGCGGAUAACUGCCAUUGCAUUUAGCGACAGCUGUAAACAGAAUGGCAGAAGAACCUUUUGAGAGGACGGAAAAGAAACCCGAGCCUGUCAGCAUUACCUCCCCUGAAAUGUAAGAAACUGGUGGAUUCCAAGACAAAAUUGUGGAAAAUGGAGACAUCUUCAAAUAACAGAAAGAAAUAAAGGCUGAAGAGGCAGGAUCACAGAUGUCAGAUGAAAGUUACCGCAAAAAAGGUUAAGUUGGAAAAGAGUGAAAAUGAAAAUGGAUGCUUGUGCAGUGACUGAAGUUGAAGUCAUAAAUUGAGGAUGAUGAAGCUACACGAAAAAGCUCUCAGCUCUACAGUCCGAGUCUGACCGACUUGUCCGACGAGCCACUGUCGGCGGCACUGCGAUCGCAGGCCCCUCACGGUGUGUGCUUACUCAGGCAAGUGUCGUGGGGAUUUGUUAAUGUAGAGGCUGACUGUACGCUGUAGGUGUCUGCAGACUUCCAUCAUUAGAGGAACAGUUCUAUGAACAGUACAUGCCAUUCUCGGGAGUGUGGACCACUUCGUUGGUUACUCGAGUUCCUCAUCUGACCCCAGAACUGUCAUUUACUGCAGCUAGGCAUUUAGCACUAAUAAAAUGUGAGUUACAUAAAAUGGAAGUGUCCGACAUAUCAGCAGCCGUGAAGAUAUGAAAAUUUAAAGGCAUCU